RNAcentral lists this ribosomal RNA (700 nucleotides) under uncultured bacterium. Its description in RNAcentral is "bacterial SSU rRNA". It matches the Rfam family "Bacterial small subunit ribosomal RNA", at positions 89 to 777 of the family's 1533-position model. The record is from RNAcentral.
GCUCUAGUGGCGAACGGGUGAGUAACACGUAAGGAACUUGCCCCAAAGACGAGGAUAACCAUGGGAAACCGUGGCUAAUACUGGAUAGUAUAUAGAUUCGCAUGAAUUUAUAUUUAAAGACGCGUUCGCGUCACUUUGGGAGAGCCUUGCGCAGCAUUAGCUAGUUGGUAGGGUAAAGGCCUACCAAGGCGACGAUGCUUAGCUGGACUGAGAGGUUGAACAGCCACACUGGGACUGAGACACGGCCCAGACUCCUAUGGGAGGCAGCAGUAGGGAAUUUUCGGCAAUGGGCGAAAGCCUGACCGAGCAAUGCCGCGUGAACGAUGAAGGCCUUCGGGUCGUAAAGUUCUGUUGUUAAGGAAGAACAGUCAGAAGAGGAAAUGCUUUUGAUUUGACGGUACUUAACCAGAAAGCUCCGGCUAACUACGUGCCAGCAGCCGCGGUAAUACGUAGGGAGCGAGCGUUAUCCGGAAUUAUUGGGCGUAAAGCGUGCGUAGGCGGCGUGUUAAGUCGAAUGUGAAAGCCCACAGCUUAACUGUGGAGGGUCAUUCGAAACUGGCAUGCUAGAGUACGGCAGAGGUUAGUGGAAUUCAAUGUGUAGCGGUAAAAUGCGUAGAUAUAUUGAGGAACACCGAUGGCGAAGGCAGCUAACUGGACCGGAACUGACGCUGAGGCACGAAAGCGUGGGGAGCAAACAGGA